RNAcentral lists this ribosomal RNA (253 nucleotides) under uncultured bacterium. RNAcentral's name for it is "partial 16S ribosomal RNA". It matches the Rfam family "Bacterial small subunit ribosomal RNA", at positions 524 to 776 of the family's 1533-position model. The record is from RNAcentral.
UACGGGGGGGGCAAGCGUUGUUCGGAAUUACUGGGCGUAAAGGGCGCGUAGGCGGCUCAUCAAGUCGGGCGUGAAAUCUCCGGGCUUAACCUGGAAAAGUCGUUCGAUACUGUUGGGCUAGAGUGUGGAAGAGGCUACUGGAAUUCCGUGUGUAGCGGUGAAAUGCGUAGAUAUACGGAGGAACACCUGCGGCGAAGGCGGGUUGCUGGGCUGACACUGACGCUGAGGCGCGAAAGCUAGGGGAGCGAACGGG